AAAGGGCGCGUAGGCGGCUAGGUAAGUUAGAUGUGAAAGCCCAGGGCUCAACCUUGGAAGUGCAUCUAAAACUACCUAACUAGAGUCUCGGAGAGGGUGGUAGAAUUCCCAGUGUAGAGGUGAAAUUCGUAGAUAUUGGGAGGAAUACCGGUGGCGAAGGCGACCGCCUGGACGAAGACUGACGCUGAGGCGCGAGAGCGUGGGGAGCAAACAGGAUUAGAUACCCUAGU
Molecule: ribosomal RNA, 230 nt
Filed under: uncultured bacterium
Lineage: Bacteria
Description: partial 16S ribosomal RNA
Rfam family: Bacterial small subunit ribosomal RNA
Source: RNAcentral